This 1307-nucleotide long non-coding RNA is filed under the name Numida meleagris (helmeted guineafowl). Its description in RNAcentral is "lncRNA (ENSNMEG00000010400.1)". Lineage: Eukaryota; Metazoa; Chordata; Aves; Galliformes; Numididae. The record is from RNAcentral.
UGACAGCUCAGCGCAGUCUAGGCUUCGUGCCGACAAAUAGGCCGUGCUUUCCAGUGGCCCUGCCUGCGGGCCUGAAGGGCAGCACGGAGGGCAGCGGGGCACACAGCGGGGAUGGGCAUGGAGCCAGGGAGGUCUGCCUUCAAAUCAGCGCCUGACCAGGCCCCUGGCAUCCCACACUGGGCUUUUGCGGUGUAAAGACCUGUGGCCCAGCUCCACCAGCAGCCCCAGGUGCACUGAGGAGAGCUGGCAGCAGGGCACGGGGAGCCCUCCUCACCCUGCGCAGGGAACCCCAGCCAUCAUGGCUUUGGCUAGCUCCAGGUCUUCACUGCAAACAAACCUGCUGAAAGUGUCUCCAGCUCUGAACCAAAACCCUCAUUUACUACUAAAAAUAAUGUCAAUGAAUGGAAGAAUUCAUCAAUUCUCCCAGGGAAGAGAAAAGAUGAUCCCAUUAACCUCCAUUACAGCCAUCACCAUUAAGAGAUACCAUUAACCUGCAGUUCCGCACUGUCUUGUUGGAGGUACUACAGUCGUUACUGUAAUUUCGGAGAUGCUCUGGCCAUCCCUUGCAACUCCUGGCAAAUGCUGAUGCUUUACAGGGAAUGCUGCAGCCAAGUACACUGUUGGGUUGGGAGGCCCAAUCCAUGCAGUCUUCCCAAAGCACUCAGGCUGUGCAUGCAGAAGCCUGACCCAAACCGCACUGCAGCAAAUGCAAUGAUGGCUGUGCUUAUCCUCGGGCCUUGGAUUAGAGCUCCAGAACAGGAUCAAGUCCCGCCCCAUAUGAAAUUAUGGGAUCUUACUGCCUUACAAAGUCAUGAGCAGCCACAGUAGAUCAAUACAGAGGACAGUGCAAGUACUAGGAACUUUAAUGGCAGCAUGUUGUCUCGUGGCUGUUUCACUUCCUAAGCAUGGCCUGCUGUGAAAGAUGGAGAGCCUGCAUGAGCAGGGUGGCCUGGCAUCAUCUGCUAGGAUGGUGCCCGCAUGGAAAACAAGUGGAAAUCUCUGGAGCUUUCCUGAGGAAAAGAGCACCCCUGCACCUCCAGGCCCUGCAUGAGAAAUUGUACACUGGAGACCUAUGGAGCGCACAGGGAAAGGGAAACCUGAGAAGAGAACUCUGUAUCAACUUUUCUAGGCUUUCUUUUAUGUCAAGGCUGGCUCACACGUGGCCUGGUGAGGCUGAAGGCGCAGCGCACCACGGCAUCCUGCAGACCCAUAGGGAGAGGCAGGAGCACAAGCAGCACCAGACACUGGAGCCUGGGUCACAGUCAGCCCCUCAGACAGCCUCACUGUUUGUUUAUUACUGUGCCUAG